This 209-nucleotide long non-coding RNA is filed under the name Paramuricea clavata. The record is from RNAcentral. Lineage: Eukaryota; Metazoa; Cnidaria; Anthozoa; Malacalcyonacea; Plexauridae.
CAGGAACGACUGCGAAAAAUGCAGCACAAGGUCCUCUGGUAGAAAUUGAACCUACGGCCCUGCGAUUCCGGUGCAGCGCUCUAACCAACUGAGCUACAGAGGCCAGCUGUUGAGCUGUAACCGUAGGUUCAUGUAUAUAUAGGUGAUCGGGUGUGCGGGUUGUGAUAAGGUGGACUUCAAUGAUCUGGUUUCUUGCACUUCACUUGGUG